RNAcentral lists this ribosomal RNA (433 nucleotides) under uncultured bacterium. Its description in RNAcentral is "partial 16S ribosomal RNA". It matches the Rfam family "Bacterial small subunit ribosomal RNA", at positions 28 to 507 of the family's 1533-position model. The record is from RNAcentral.
GACGAACGCUGGCGGCAUGCCUAACACAUGCAAGUCGAACGAGACCUUCGGGUCUAGUGGCGCACGGGUGCGUAACGCGGGGGAACCUGCCCGUGGGUUCGGAAUAACUCCCCGAAAGGGGUGCUAAUACCGGAUAAUGUCUUCGGGCCAAAGAUGUAUGGCCUUGGGAUGGGGCCGCGUUGGAUUAGCUGGUUGGUAGGGGAAAAGCCUACCUAGGCGACGAUCCAUAGCUGGUCUGAGAGGAUGAUCAGCCACACUGGGACUGAGACACGGACCAGACUCGUACGGGAGGGAGCAGUGGGGAAUAUUGGACGCUGGGCGAAAGCCUGAUCCAGCCAUGCCGGGUGAGUGAUGAAGGGGUUAGGGUUGUAAAUCCCUUUUAGCCGGGAUGAUAAUGACAGUACCGGGAGAAUAAGCUCCGGCUAACUACGUG